CAGUAGCCGCGGGAAUACGUAGGGUGCGAGCGUUAAUCGGAAUUACUGGGGGUAAAGCGUGCGCAGGCGGUUGUGUAAGACAGGUGCGAAAUCCCCGGGCUUAACCUGGGAACUGCGCUUGUGACUGCACAGCUAGAGUAUGGCAGAGGGGGGUGGAAUUCCACGUGUAGCAGUGAAAUGCGUAGAGAUGUGGAGGAACACCGAUGGCGAAGGCAGCCCCCUGGGCCAAUACUGACGCUCAUGCACGAAAGCGUGGGGAGCAAGCAGGAUUAGAUACCCCAGUAGUCCCUGUCUCUUAUAA
RNAcentral lists this ribosomal RNA (301 nucleotides) under uncultured bacterium. RNAcentral's name for it is "partial 16S ribosomal RNA". It matches the Rfam family "Bacterial small subunit ribosomal RNA", at positions 509 to 809 of the family's 1533-position model. The record is from RNAcentral.